RNAcentral lists this long non-coding RNA (199 nucleotides) under Gossypium raimondii (Peruvian cotton). Its description in RNAcentral is "long non-coding RNA (GRAI_LNC004480)". The record is from RNAcentral. Lineage: Eukaryota; Viridiplantae; Streptophyta; Magnoliopsida; Malvales; Malvaceae.
AAAAAUAAGGGAUUGGGGUGGUUAUCAAAUAUUCUGUUAAUUUUUUUUCCUUUUUUACUUUUCCCAAAAUCCCUCCACCCUUUUACCGUUUUUCUCUUCAUUGCUGCCAAAUUUCUACUGUUUUUAACCCUUCAUCUUCUUAAUUUUUCUUUUCCCACUCUACCUCAUUCCGCUCCACGUUUGUCUGCGAUAGUUUGAU